RNAcentral lists this ribosomal RNA (2119 nucleotides) under Methanomassiliicoccaceae archaeon. RNAcentral describes it as "bacterial LSU rRNA". It matches the Rfam family "Archaeal large subunit ribosomal RNA", at positions 793 to 2987 of the family's 2987-position model. Lineage: Archaea; Methanobacteriati; Thermoplasmatota; Thermoplasmata; Methanomassiliicoccales; Methanomassiliicoccaceae. The record is from RNAcentral.
GAAGCCAGUUGAUCUAUGCCUGGAUAGGUUGAAGCCCUUCGAAAGGAGGGUGGAGGACCGAACCGGUAAUGAUGUGCAAAUCUUUCGGAUGAUCUGGGCAUAGGGGUGAAAGGCCAAUCUAAACUGGAAAUAGCUGGUUCCUCCAGAAACUAGUCGCAGCUAGACCUCAACCGAGACAGAUCAUGGGGUAGAGCACCGAUCAGGGUCUUAGGCCGCGAAAGCGGUCGGAUCCUUGUCGAACUCCGAACUCGUGAUCGUUGUAGACGUUGGGAGUGAGGGCCUCUGGGGUAAGCUUGGGGUCCGUAAGGGAAUGCAACCCAGCCUAAAGUUAAGGUCCCUAAAUUCCGGCUAAGUGUAACAUGAAAAGUAGUCUGUAGUCCAAGACAACCGGGAGGUGGGCUUAGAAGCAGCCAUCCUUUANNGCGCUGAAAAUGGACGGGGCUAAGCCGGAUACCGAUACUUUAGAGCACCGUAAGGUGAUCUUGUAUGGAGGCGUCGGGCAUGGGUAGAAGCAAGGCCGUAAGGUCUUGUGGACCGUGUUCGAACGAGGAUCCUGGUAGGAGUAGCAGCAAAGAAUGGUGAGAAUCCAUUCCGUCGAAGGGGCCAGGGUUCCUCGGCAAUNNAGCCGAGGGUUAGCCGAUCCUAAGGCACUCCUUAAUCGAAAGUGCCGAAAGGGAAGCAGGUUAAUAUUCCUGCGCCGCAGGAGCCUCUGUCUGUCAUCUGACGCAUCAGGAUAUGCUGAGCAAGUUUACCUGCUUGUUCAAGUACUGAAACUUGGGAAGAACCGUAAUGGUGAGAACCUUGUAAAUGUACGAGUAGGAGGACGAAAGUCCUCUUCAGCUGAGUCCCGGUGCCCAUGAAAACGAUGGCAGUAACAGCUCCUGUGUUCGUACCAAGAACUGACACAGGUGCCCCUAGGUGAGAAGCCUAAGACGUGUCGGCGUAAUCCAAGGCGAGGGAAUUCGGCAAAUUAGCCCCGUACCUUUGGUAGAAGGGGUGCCAGCCAUGAAAAUGGCUGGUCUCAGUAACUCGGGAGCUCCGACUGUUUAAUAAAAACACAGGUCACAGCAAGUCCGAAAGGAUGUGUAUUGUGGCUGAAGCCUGCCCAGUGACGGUAUCUGAAUCUCGGGUACAACCGAACGAAGGACCGUUAAANNUCUUAAGGUAGCGUAGUACCUUGUCGCUUAAUUGGCGACUUGCAUGAAGGCCCAACGAGAGCUCUACUGUCCCCGCCUGGAAGCCGGUGAAACUGAUAGUACUGGCGCAGAAUCCAGUACCUUCCACCUGAAAGCGAAGACCCCAUGGAGCUUUACUGCAGCCUGUUGUUGUGGUAUGAGCCUGGAUGUGUAGGGUAGGCGGGAGACGCUACCCAGGAUCUACCGCUAGGUAGACUCCGAGUCAAUGAUGAAACACCGCCCUUCUGGGUUCGUAUCACUAACUUCGAGAGAAGGACACCGGUAGGUGGGCAGUUUGGGUGGGGCGCCACGCGCUCAAUAAGCAAACAAGCGCGCCCAAUGGUUAGCUCAGGCAGGUCAGAAAUCUGCCAGAGAGUGUAAAGGCAAAAGCUAGCUUGACGCCGUUCCGGAUAACAAGGCACGGCGAUACGAAAGUAGGGCUUAACGAACCACUGUACCUUCUAUGUGGGGGUCAGUGAUGACAGAAAAGUUACCCUGGGGAUAACUGAGUCGUCGCCAGCAAGAGUUCAUAUCGACCUGGCGGCUUGCUACUUCGCUGUCGGCUCUCCCUAUCCUGGCGGUGCAGCAGCUGCCAAGGGUGGGGUUGUUCGCCCAUUAAAAGGGAUCGUGAGCUGGGUUUAGACCGUCGUGAGACAGGUUUGUUGCUUUUUGGUGGAAGUGUAUAGAUGCCUGACGAGAAGGAUCCUUUAGUACGAGAGGAACGGGGAUCCGCUGCCUCUAGUUUAUCAAUUGUCUGGUAAGGCAUUGUUGAGCAGCCACGCAGCAGUGGAUAAGAGCUGAAAGCAUCUAAGCUCGAAGCCACCUUGAAAAAGAGGCAUCGCAGCGCUCGUAAAUGACGAGUUUGAUAGGACCGGGGUGUAAGCAUCGAGGGUUCGCCCGAGGUGUUCAGCCUGUCGGUUACUAAAGUUGUAUUAGCCACUACU